UUCCCAACAGACGUUCUUUUGUAUCUAUUGUGUUCAAAGUUUCCAGAUGGACAAGCCAUGCAGUUGCAGGCACUCCCUUGUUCACAUGGUAUUGACUAACAGUUCUAUGGUUACGUUCGGUUGAAAGAGAUACUGAAUUAUGUGGUCCCCAACUGUGUGGUCAUAAACAUUUUAGUACUGGGACCUGCCUCAAUGAGGAAGAAAAUUAAAAUGACUUCUGCAGUCAACUUGCUAAGCUAUCAUCCAUUGCUUCUGAAUCUGACGUAGUAAAAGUAAGAGCGGGAGACUGCAAUCAAUCGUUUCCUAACUUCGAUGAACUCAGAAGCGGAUAGCUUCCACAAAAUGCGAAAGAAAAGACAGAUUUUACAGUUCCCAUCAGACUGUGUAACUCCCCUGACAAACUGUCCCAAUGGCUUUGCACUGCUCUGAGAGAUAAAUAAUAAAUACCCACCAUUGCUAGCCCGACAAAACCUUUUACUAUUAAA
Molecule: small RNA, 485 nt
Filed under: Rattus norvegicus (Norway rat)
Lineage: Eukaryota; Metazoa; Chordata; Mammalia; Rodentia; Muridae
Description: uncharacterized LOC102557230
Source: RNAcentral